CAGUAGCCACGGUAAUACGAAGGGUGCAAGCGUUACUCGGAAUUACUGGGCGUAAAGCGUGCGUAGGUGGUGGUUUAAGUCCGUUGUGAAAGCCCUGGGCUCAACCUGGGAAUUGCAGUGGAUACUAAGUCACUAGAGUGUGGUAGAGGAUAGUGGAAUUUCCGGUGUAGCAGUGAAAUGCGUAGAGAUCGGAAGGAACAUCUGUGGCGAAGGCGACUAUCUGGGCCAACACUGACACUGAGGCACGAAAGCGUGGGGAGCAAACAGGAUUAGAUACCCCCGUAGUCCCUGUCUCUUAAAC
This 301-nucleotide ribosomal RNA is filed under the name uncultured bacterium. RNAcentral's name for it is "partial 16S ribosomal RNA". It matches the Rfam family "Bacterial small subunit ribosomal RNA", at positions 509 to 807 of the family's 1533-position model. The record is from RNAcentral.